RNAcentral lists this ribosomal RNA (445 nucleotides) under uncultured bacterium. RNAcentral describes it as "partial 16S ribosomal RNA". It matches the Rfam family "Bacterial small subunit ribosomal RNA", at positions 354 to 796 of the family's 1533-position model. The record is from RNAcentral.
GUGAGGAAUAUUGCGCAAUGGAGGCAACUCUGACGCAGCCAUGCCGCGUGCAGGAAGAAGGCGCUACGCGUUGUAAACUGCUUUUAACCGGGAAGAAACCCCAGGACGUGUCCUGGGUUGACGGUACCGGAGGAAUAAGCACCGGCUAACUUCGUGCCAGCAGCCGCGGUAAUUCGAAGGGUGCAAGCGUUAUCCGGAUUCAUUGGGUUUAAAGGGUGCGUAGGCGGAGCGUUAAGUCAGUGGUGAAAUCCGGCAGCUUAACUGUAGACUUGCCAUUGAUACUGGCGCUCUUGAGUGCGCUUGAAGUGGGCGGAAUGUGCCGUGUAGCGGUGAAAUGCUUAGAUAUGGCACAGAACACCAAUUGCGAAGGCAGCUCACUAAGGCGAUACUGACGCUGAGGCACGAAAGCGUGGGGAUCGAACAGGAUUAGAAACCCUAGUAGUCC